CAAAGGCUUGGUCCUGACUUUACUAUCAACUUUAGCUAAACUUACACAUGCAAGUAUCCGCACUCCUGUGAGAAUGCCCUACAGUUCCCCGCCCGGGAACAAGGAGCAGGUAUCAGGCACACCUCUAGUUAGCCCACGACGCCUUGCUUAGCCACACCCUCAAGGGAACUCAGCAGUGAUAAACAUUAAACCAUAAGUGAAAACUUGACUUAGUCAAAGCUAAGAGGGCCGGUAAAACUCGUGCCAGCCACCGCGGUUAUACGAGAGGCCCAAGUUGAAAGACCCCGGCGUAAAGAGUGGUUAAGCUAGAAUUUAUACUAAAGCCGAACAUCCUCACGGCUGUUAUACGCACCCGAAGAUAAGAAGCUCAACCACGAAGGUAGCUUUAUACAUCUGAGCCCACGAAAGCUACGGCACAAACUGGGAUUAGAUACCCCACUAUGCCUAGCCCUAAACAUUGAUAGUACCCCACACCCACUAUCCGCCUGGGAACUACGAGCAGCAGCUUAAAACCCAAAGGACUUGGCGGUGCUUU
RNAcentral lists this ribosomal RNA (535 nucleotides) under Lycodes sp. ADK-2014. Its description in RNAcentral is "partial small subunit ribosomal RNA". It matches the Rfam family "Bacterial small subunit ribosomal RNA", at positions 7 to 922 of the family's 1533-position model. Lineage: Eukaryota; Metazoa; Chordata; Actinopteri; Perciformes; Zoarcidae. The record is from RNAcentral.